This 73-nucleotide transfer RNA is filed under the name Thermoplasmata archaeon. RNAcentral's name for it is "tRNA-Glu". It matches the Rfam family "tRNA". From Rfam's summary of the family: Transfer RNA (tRNA) molecules are approximately 80 nucleotides in length. Their secondary structure includes four short double-helical elements and three loops (D, anti-codon, and T loops). Lineage: Archaea; Methanobacteriati; Thermoplasmatota; Thermoplasmata. RNAcentral also lists the same sequence under 1 other name. The record is from RNAcentral.
GCUCCUGUAGUCUAGUGGUCAAGGAUAGAGGCCUCUCGAGCCUUUGACGCGGGUUCAAAUCCCGCCAGGAGCA